RNAcentral lists this ribosomal RNA (856 nucleotides) under uncultured bacterium. Its description in RNAcentral is "bacterial SSU rRNA". It matches the Rfam family "Bacterial small subunit ribosomal RNA", at positions 8 to 853 of the family's 1533-position model. The record is from RNAcentral.
AGAGUUUGAUCAUGGCUCAGAUUGAACGCUGGCGGCAGGCUUCACACAUGCAAGUCGAACGGUAACAGGAAGGAAGCUUGCUUUCUUUGCUGACGAGUGGCGGACGGGUGAGUAAUGCUUGGGAAUCUGGCUUAUGGAGGGGGAUAACUACGGGAAACUGUAGCUAAUACCGCGUAAUAUCUUCGGAUUAAAGGGUGGGACUUUCGGGCCACCUGCCAUAAGAUGAGCCCAAGUGGGAUUAGGUAGUUGGUGGGGUAAAGGCCUACCAAGCCGACGAUCUCUAGCUGGUCUGAGAGGAUGACCAGCCACACUGGAACUGAGACACGGUCCAGACUCCUACGGGAGGCAGCAGUGGGGAAUAUUGCACAAUGGGGGGAACCCUGAUGCAGCCAUGCCGCGUGAAUGAAGAAGGCCUUCGGGUUGUAAAGUUCUUUCGGUGAUGAGGAAGGUGUUUGUUUUAAUAGAACAAGCAAUUGACGUUAGUCACAGAAGAAGCACCGGCUAACUCCGUGCCAGCAGCCGCGGUAAUACGGAGGGUGCGAGCGUUAAUCGGAAUGACUGGGCGUAAAGGGCACGCAGGCGGUGACUUAAGUGAGAUGUGAAAGCCCCGAGCUUAACUUGGGAAUUGCAUUUCAUACUGGGUCGCUAGAGUAUUUUAGGGAGGGGUAGAAUUCCACGUGUAGCGGUGAAAUGCGUAGAGAUGUGGAGGAAUACCGAAGGCGAAGGCAGCCCCUUGGGAAUAUACCGACGCUCAUGUGCGAAAGCGUGGGGAGCAAACAGGAUUAGAUACCCUGGUAGUCCACGCUGUAAACGCUGUCGAUUUGGGGAUUGGGCUUAGAGCUUGGUGCCCGUAGCU